Long non-coding RNA from Brassica napus (rape), 1828 nucleotides. RefSeq lists it as uncharacterized. Lineage: Eukaryota; Viridiplantae; Streptophyta; Magnoliopsida; Brassicales; Brassicaceae. The transcript has 2 exons. The record is from RefSeq and is a predicted model, not a curated record.
UGUUUUUCAGCUACUAUUUCAAAUUAGUGUUUGGUUUUAUUCUAUUUAACUUCAAAUGUCUCUUUUUAGAUCUUAGAUGUCUUGCAUUUUUAAAGUUUUGUAUAAAAAUCAUUUACUGGUUUAAAAUUUCAUUGUACGAGCAAGAACCUAAAAUUAAAGUUCAGCGGCAAUUAACCAAAUUUCUCCUUAACAAAACUAUUUUCAAUUAAAAGUUAAUAAAGAGACUAUUAUAUUUUAUCAAAGAAAAAUGUGUUAUUGUUUUCAAUAAUGGUAUUAUUGGUGCCAAUGUGUGUGAAACUAUUUCAACAUAAAACUUCAGACCAUCUCAUAGUGGUCUAGUGAUUGUCAGGAUUCGCUAUGUCGAUGUAGGUCCGGGUUUGAGUUUUCCUGCUAUGAUUUCAUGUUUCAACUGUGGAUGGUCGGUCACCCAUAAAUGUUUUUAGUAGCAAUAAAACCCAAAAUUUGUUUUUCUAAUCUCAUGGAUUCGGUAUGGACUUUGGGUUAAGGAUUCCCAUGAUUAGUAUAAAGAGUUAAGGAUUCCCAUGAUUAGUAUAAAACAUAGAAUAUUUUUUCGAUCGUAAAAUAUUCACUAUAAAAAUAUUUUAUCCAUUUUAUAUUUCAUAGUUUAGUCAAGGAAACUAGCUAAAGUUUAUUAAAAAAAAUCUUGCUCAUACUAUAUACUGAAAUAGAAAAGAGAAAAAAAUCAGCCAUGUCACUAGAGGUGUCAAAAUGGGUUGAAAUUAAUGGUUUUAUCCAAACCAACCCAUGGAAUGGAUCCUAAUGGAUCAAAAUUUGGAUGGUAAUGGAUUAAUGGUUUUGAUGGGUUAGUGGAUUUAAUUAGUUUGGGUUAAAAUGGUUUGGGUUUUGAUGGGUCAGUGGAUUAUCCAAUCCAACCCAUUUUUUCACAUUAUGUCAUUCUCUUAUUUUUCUUCUGCGACACAAUCGAUUGACUAUUAACACAUGUUUGGGUCAAUUCGGGCGCUUAAAGAACAGAGUCGAGUACAGCUCAAGACCCGUGCCUCCAAACCUGAUUGCAGCAGAGAAAGAAGAACCUUACAAGGAAAAUGACAAAAGCUAGAUUGAACCUGAAAAGUUUGAUGUUUGAUUUUGCUGACAGGAAGAGAGCUUACCACACUUGAGAUACAAGAUUCUCUCAUUCCUUCCCUCGAACAACUUCAUGAAGAACAUGGUGAUCUUCUCUCUGACCUCGCUGUCAGCUUCCCUGAUCCACCGCCACCACCUGCUGAAGAUAGACGAGUUUCUUCACCUCCACCUCGUGGUCUCACAUAUUCCGCUGCAGAUGUUCGGUACAGUUAAAUCUCCGACGCAGCCACGGGCCACCAUGCUAGGAACCGCCAUUUCUCUGCCUCAUCAUAUCCCUAUACCUCAUUCUCGACACUUCUCCUCUCACUGUCUUUCCCUUGGACUCGUAAGCUCACAAUCCCAUGAUUCAGAAAGCAGAGCUGAGAGUGACAACGAUGAAGCUGUCUCCGGAGAUGAUCUUGAAGCAUGAGAUAAACCUCUGAGGAAGAAGAAACGUUACUAGCGUCACACUGCUAAACAAAUUCAAGACCUCGAAUCGUAAUACUCUUUCUUCUUAAUAAUCGUAAUACUUUUUCUUCUUAACCACACAAAAGCUCCUCUUCUUGUUCCAUCAUUACACGAUUUGAAUCUUUAUUACACGAUAAAUCACUUCAAUUUCAAACGAUAGAUUUUUCUUUUGGGUCUUUGUGAUUGAUUGAAAUCACUUCAAUUCGGCUAAUUUUACAUUCUUGUUGCAUAAUUAAGUUUCUGAGUUUCAAAUUAUUGGAGUAUUUUUAUGGGUCAA